AAACCGAAGGAGGACAACGUUAUCCUGCAUCAUUGGGUUUAAGGGUCCGGAGGCGGACUAUUAAAUCAGAGGUGAAAUCCUGCAGCUCAACUGUAGAAUUGCCUUUGAUACUGGGUGUCUUGAGUUAUUGUGAAGUGGUUAGAAUGUGUAGUGUAGCGGUGAAAUGCAUAGAUAUUACAUAGAAUACCUAUUGCGAAGGCAGAUCACUAACAAUAUACUGACGCUGAUGGACGAAAGCGUGGGGAGCGAACAGGAUUAGAUACCCUGGUAGUCCACGCCGUAAACGAUGGAUACUAGCUGUUCGAACUACAGUUUGCGUGGCAGAGCGAAAGUGAUAUUUAACC
Molecule: ribosomal RNA, 344 nt
Filed under: uncultured bacterium
Lineage: Bacteria
Description: bacterial SSU rRNA
Rfam family: Bacterial small subunit ribosomal RNA
Source: RNAcentral